AUUGAACGCUGGCGGCAUGCCUUACACAUGCAAGUCGAACGGCAGCGCGGGAGCAAUCCUGGCGGCGAGUGGCGGACGGGUGAGUAAUACAUCGGAACGUGCCCAAUCGUGGGGGAGAACGCAGCGAAAGCGGUGCUAAUACCGCAUACGAUCUACGGAUGAAAGCAGGGGAUCGCAAGACCUUGCGCGAAUGGAGCGGCCGAUGGCGGAUUAGCUAGUUGGUGAGGUAAAGGCGCACCAAGCCUUCGAUCCGUAGCUGGUCUGAGAGGACGACCAGCCACACUGGGACUGAGACACGGCCCAGACUCCUACGGGAGGCAGCAGUGGGGAAUUUUGGACAAUGGGCGCAAGCCUGAUCCAGCCAUGCCGCGUGCAGGAUGAAGGCCUUCGGGUUGUAAACUGCUUUUGUACGGAAAGAAACGGUCUUUUCUAAUACAGAAGGGUAAUGACGGUACCGUAAGAAUAAGCACCGGCUAACUACGUG
Molecule: ribosomal RNA, 484 nt
Filed under: uncultured bacterium
Lineage: Bacteria
Description: partial 16S ribosomal RNA
Rfam family: Bacterial small subunit ribosomal RNA
Source: RNAcentral